Molecule: ribosomal RNA, 465 nt
Filed under: uncultured bacterium
Lineage: Bacteria
Description: partial 16S ribosomal RNA
Rfam family: Bacterial small subunit ribosomal RNA
Source: RNAcentral
CCUACGGGAGGCAGCAGUAGGGAAUCUUCCACAAUGGGCGAAAGCCUGAUGGAGCAACGCCGCGUGGGUGAAGAAGGUCUUCGGAUCGUAAAACCCUGUUGUUAGAGAAGAAAGUGCGUGAGAGUAACUGUUCACGUUUCGACGGUAUCUAACCAGAACGCCACGGCUAACUACGUGCCAGCAGCCGCGGUAAUACGUAGGUGGCAAGCGUUAUCCGGAUUGAUUGGGCGUAAAGGGAACGCAGGCGGUCUGUUAAGUCUGAUGUGAAAGCCUUCGGCUUAACCGGAAUAGUGCAUUGGAAACUGGGAGACUUGAGUGCAGAAGAGGAGAGUGGAACUCCAUGUGUAGCGGUGAAAUGCGUAGAUAUAUGGAAGAACACCAGUGGCGAAAGCGGCUCUCUGGUCUGUAACUGACGCUGAGGCUCGAAAGCGUGGGUAGCAAACAGGAUUAGAUACCCCAGUAGUC